CCCAAAAUAAAUAGGACGUGACAAAAAAUUUGGGCAUGGCUUUUGGUGUGGAGGUGGUUAAAUGCAUAUGGAACACUUUCAUAAAAUCCAGAUAAACCAACUAAUAAAUUAGAUGGUUCAAACCCAAUCAUAUUAGGUCAAGGCAAGAAGACUAAGUUAGCACAAACACAUUUGCACUAAACCCAAUUGAGAACUUGGGUUAAUUCAUGUGC
RNAcentral lists this long non-coding RNA (212 nucleotides) under Elaeis guineensis (African oil palm). Its description in RNAcentral is "long non-coding RNA (EGUI_LNC058842)". The record is from RNAcentral. Lineage: Eukaryota; Viridiplantae; Streptophyta; Magnoliopsida; Arecales; Arecaceae.